UGCGUAGGCGGCAUUAUAAGUUAGAGGUGAAAUCCCGGUGCUCAACAUCGGAACUGCCUCUAAUACUGUAUAGCUAGAGAGUAGAUGCUGUGGGCGGAAUGUGUGGUGUAGCGGUGAAAUGCUUAGAUAUCACACAGAACACCGAUUGCGAAGGCAGCUCACAAAUCUAUAUCUGACGCUGAGGCACGAAAGCGUGGGGAGCAAACAGGAUUAGAUACCCUGGUAGUCCACGCCGUAAACUAUGAUAGCUCGUUGUCGGCGAUACACAGUCGGUGACUUAGCGAAAGCGUUAAGCUAUCCACCUGGGGAGUACGUUCGCAAGAAUGAA
This 328-nucleotide ribosomal RNA is filed under the name uncultured bacterium. RNAcentral's name for it is "bacterial SSU rRNA". It matches the Rfam family "Bacterial small subunit ribosomal RNA", at positions 568 to 898 of the family's 1533-position model. The record is from RNAcentral.